UACAGAGGGCUCAAGCGUUGUUCGGAUUCAUUGGGCGUAAAGGGUGCGUAGGCGGCGCGGUAAGUCGGGGGUGAAAUCUCGGAGCUUAACUCCGAAACUGCAUUCGAUACUGCCGUGCUUGAGGACUGGAGAGGAGACUGGAAUUUACGGUGUAGCGGUGAAAUGCGUAGAUAUCGUAAGGAAGACCAGUGGCGAAGGCGGGUCUCUGGACAGUUCCUGACGCUGAGGCACGAAGGUCAGGGGAGCAAACGGG
RNAcentral lists this ribosomal RNA (253 nucleotides) under uncultured bacterium. RNAcentral's name for it is "partial 16S ribosomal RNA". It matches the Rfam family "Bacterial small subunit ribosomal RNA", at positions 524 to 776 of the family's 1533-position model. The record is from RNAcentral.